Vicugna pacos (alpaca) is the source of this 160-nucleotide non-coding RNA. The record is from RefSeq and is a predicted model, not a curated record. Lineage: Eukaryota; Metazoa; Chordata; Mammalia; Artiodactyla; Camelidae.
CACACCCUCUCCAGCUGGCAGGUCAGUGGGAACAGAAGCGGAGCUUCUGAGGGUCAGAGGAGAAAGUGGCAGCUACUUGGUAGCCAGAACUAAGAGAAACUGACAUGAAGUGUCCCUGUGAUUCCCAGCCCUAGAUACAAGCCAGCAGGGACAAGCUGGG